UACGUAGGGUGCGAGCGUUAAUCGGAAUUACUGGGCGUAAAGCGUGCGCAGGCGGUUUGUGAUGUCUGAUGUGAAAGCCCCGGGCUCAACCUGGGAAUUGCAUUGGAAACUAGCGGGCUGGAGUGUGGCAGAGGGGGGUGGAAUUCCACGUGUAGCAGUGAAAUGCGCAGAUAUCAGGAGGAACACCGGUGGCGAAGGCGGGUCUCUGGGCCGAUACUGACGCUGAGGAGCGAAAGCGUGGGGAGCGAACAGG
Molecule: ribosomal RNA, 253 nt
Filed under: uncultured bacterium
Lineage: Bacteria
Description: partial 16S ribosomal RNA
Rfam family: Bacterial small subunit ribosomal RNA
Source: RNAcentral